UCGUCAGGUAGGAUAACCUUUGCCUCUGUUCCUCUAUUCAGAUGGCAGGUAGAAUAAUGAUCAAAGUUCACAAGAUUUCUGAUUAGCAUCUCUGCAUGAUUAGGGCUUGCAGCACCCGAAUUGCUCCUAUCUGAU
Molecule: small nucleolar RNA, 135 nt
Organism: Sorex araneus (European shrew)
Lineage: Eukaryota; Metazoa; Chordata; Mammalia; Eulipotyphla; Soricidae
Gene: U8
Rfam family: U8 small nucleolar RNA
About the family: U8 is a member of the C/D class of snoRNA which contain the C (UGAUGA) and D (CUGA) box motifs. U8 is the RNA component of a small complex (the U8 snoRNP) which is required for accumulation of mature large subunit ribosomal RNAs, 5.8S and 28S rRNAs.
Source: Ensembl